UCAUGAUUUCAGCAUCAGUAUGGGCCCA
Molecule: small RNA, 28 nt
Filed under: Bombyx mori (domestic silkworm)
Lineage: Eukaryota; Metazoa; Arthropoda; Insecta; Lepidoptera; Bombycidae
Description: ovarian small RNA-7082
Source: RNAcentral